GCAAAUUAUGUAUUUACUAGUGAAGUCACCUGUGCGUUGCGCGGGUCGAUUCCAUAGAAAUAAAUAAAGCUAAAAAAAAAUUAUUAUUAUAGUAAAAUAUAAAAAUAAAAAUAUAAAAAGAAUAAAAAAAGAAUAAAAAAUAUAAAAAUAAUAAAUUAUAUUUAUAACAGUAGUAGUUCGAGUCUAAAAUUGUAAUUCAUUAAAGUUUGAGAACUAAACUUUCACGUGCCACACACUUUCAGCAAAAAAAUAUAAUCUAUUAAAAUUCGAGAACUAAAAUGUCAUAUGUCUUAUAGUUUGAGAAUCAAAAGCGUAACUUAUCCUUUUUAUAUUUUAAUAUCAGACAAGGAUAUAAUUGAGUUUUAUUUGACGAAAGAAUAUGCUAAACUAUCUAAUAAAUUUUAGAAUGUCCAAUUGUUAAAAUUAAAAGUCGGCCAAUCAUAUUUUGGAUAUUCCAAAAUAUUUUAAAUGUGAAAUUGAUUGCUCAUCAGACUAUAAACAUAGCAUUGAAGUUUAAUAUUAAAAUCAAAGUAAAAACGUACAGAACUUUUCUAAACUAUGAAAGAUUUUGAAUCAACUAUCCAACCUUUCAAAAUUUUAUUUUUACAAUCUAAUCUUUUCAUAUGUUAGAUUUGAGUUAGUUAAUGAUAAUUUGACUUCAAAAUUUGAAUUUAUUGUUUAGUUUUACAAAUUUAAUUAGUACUUCAUGUAAUUUUCGCAACUAAAUUUAUUAAAUAAAUAGUUAACUUAAACUUCAUCCAUUGCUCUUUUAUUUUUUAUUAUACAAUUUAUAUCUAAAUGAUCGAUAUUAUAAAAUUAAAAUUUAUAUUUAAUACAUACAAUCUAAACUAUUUAAAAGUACGCAUAUAUUUUAAAAUUUUAUAAUAAGAGAGAAAAGUUAUAUUAGAUUUUUUUUUAAAAAAUCUGCUCUUCAAAAUUAAUAGAAAAGAAAUAAAAAUUAAAAACAUAAAAAAUAUGAGAAAGGUAGGCCCCACCCGCCUGGGCCCACCCCCCAACCCUCUCCUUCCCACUCCCCGCCCGCCCCCGCACCCCCGCUUUCUUCCGCCACCUGUAACAAACUCUCUUUUCGUAUAUUUACUAGUGAAGGAUCCGCACGUUGCGGCGGAAUGAUUCCGUAGAAAUAAAUAUAUAAAUAAAAUAAAUAAUAGUAAAAAAAAGAGUCAAAAAAUUAUAUUAAAAAAUAACUAAAAAAUAAACAACUAUUGCUGUAAUAAAAAUAUAAAAAUAAAUUAUAAGAAAGAUUAAACAAAAUAAAGACAAAAAUCAUACUAAUAAGAAAUUAUAUAUAAUUAUAUUUAUAAUUAUAUAUAUUAUAAUUAUUAUUAUAAUUAUGUAUAAUUUUAGGAAAAAAUGAUUUAUUGUUUUUAUAUUUUUGCCUCUAUUCUUCUUUUAUCUAUCUAAUUGUCAUGCCCCGGAUUACUCGUUUCCCCGGGCUCGCUAACAGACCCGCCGUAUACAUAGAUAUUUUCUCUGUAUACGAAGCGAAA
This 1508-nucleotide long non-coding RNA is filed under the name Ananas comosus (pineapple). Its description in RNAcentral is "long non-coding RNA (ACOM_LNC026529)". Lineage: Eukaryota; Viridiplantae; Streptophyta; Magnoliopsida; Poales; Bromeliaceae. The record is from RNAcentral.